RNAcentral lists this ribosomal RNA (253 nucleotides) under uncultured bacterium. Its description in RNAcentral is "partial 16S ribosomal RNA". It matches the Rfam family "Bacterial small subunit ribosomal RNA", at positions 524 to 776 of the family's 1533-position model. The record is from RNAcentral.
UACGUAGGCAGCGAGCGUUGUUCGGAAUUACUGGGCGUAAAGAGUGUGUAGGCGGUGCUCUAAGUCUGUCGUGAAAUCUCCCGGCUUAACUGGGAGGGUGCGGCGGAAACUGGUGUGCUCGAGGGUGGGAGAGGUAAGCGGAAUUCCUGGUGUAGCGGUGAAAUGCGUAGAUAUCAAGAGGAACACCUGAGGUGAAGACGGGUUGCUGGGCUGACACUGACGCUGAGGCGCGAAAGCCAGGGGAGCAAACGGG